UCCCCAGACUCCUACGGGAGGCAGCAGUGGGGAAUAUUGCGCAAUGGGGGAAACCCUGACGCAGCAACGCCGCGUGAGUGAGGAAGUAUCUCGGUCUGUAAAGCUCUAUCAGCGGGGAAGAAGGAAGACGGUACCCGACUAAGAAGCCCCGGCUAACUACGUGCCAGCAGCCGCGGUAAUACGUAGGGGGCAAGCGUUAUCCGGAUUUACUGGGUGUAAAGGGAGCGUAGACGGUUAUGUAAGUCUGGAGUGAAAGCCCGGGGCCCAACCCCGGGACUGCUUUGGAAACUGUGUAACUAGAGUACAGGAGGGGCAGGCGGAAUUCCUGGUGUAGCGGUGAAAUGCGUAGAUAUAAGGAGGAACACCGGCGGCGAAGGCGGCCUGCUGGACUGAAACUGACGUUGAGGCUCGAAAGCGUGGGGAGCAAACAGGAUUAGAUACCCUGGUAGAC
This 451-nucleotide ribosomal RNA is filed under the name uncultured bacterium. RNAcentral describes it as "bacterial SSU rRNA". It matches the Rfam family "Bacterial small subunit ribosomal RNA", at positions 328 to 795 of the family's 1533-position model. The record is from RNAcentral.